GAAGCUUUCUGUGGGAAUAGAUUCGUCGGCAGAGGCUCUCCUCUCUCGGAGGGGGGAAAGCCUACCUGCCUCUUCUAAGCCCCCAUCCCUUAUUUUACUUCUCUUCCUCAUGAUGGUUUGCAAAAUGCUGCAUUUGACAACCCUUCUCAAAAUUCCAAAAGGAAAGAGAUUUUAGUAGGGGAGGAAUGUCCUAAAAGCCAAGCUGUGUUACAGAGACAACAUCCCUGGCCACGAGAACCUUUGCUGGGAUCUAUAACUUCAAUGCGCUCCAAGUUUCCUCGAUAGAAGUUUCUGGCUGACGGUCCCAACAUGUAACUGAGGCACAGUGAAAAGUUAUUGUUCAGAGUGUGUACUCGGGAAGCUCUCUUCCAGAGCAGAUUAAAAUCUUUCUUUUGGUGUAUUAAAAGAUACACUUCACAUCUGCCUAUUUUCAAAACGGCAAAGAUUCUUACUUUUGAGUCUCAAGGAAAAAAAAGAUUUUUUUUAAAAAGGACUGGCAUGUCGCCCUGUUUUUUUUUUUUAAUGGGGGAAGUAAUUUAAUGCUGAUAUUUCUACUUUAAAAACUUCUUUUGUUGCAGCAGUGGAUGUGCCCCGCGAUUUCCAGCUUUCUGCGGUUAGCAAUAUUAUCUUAAGUAACUUUUGGCGCCCUUCGUAAGACUUUUGGAUAUGGGACGAUUGUUUGCGCCCUCUAGGCAAGGGCUGGAUCCAAGUUCAGCACCAAAGCCCUUCACAUCCGCUCCUGCUUUCUCUCCUAUCUCCGCCAGCUCCCGCUCCCUCCCCCGCGGAGGGAGGGGGGGAGGCGGGGGAACACUACAAAGCACAGUUCCAACUACAGCCUUUGGAAACAAGACUGAGAAAAAUACAGUAGAAGAGUUACAGUUACAGAAAGGCUUCUGGUAACUUUCUCUCCAACAGGCAUAAAUUUAAACACACGCACAAAGAAACAGAUGUUCCUCAAAGGGCAGACUGGGGGUAAAAAACAUUUCCAACCCUCUCCCCUCUUCCCAAGUUGCAAAAGUAAAUCCUUGUCCAGAGUUCACAAAGAUACUAAGGCACUUGAGAGAGAGCAGGGAUGGAGGAGGAGGGAAGAAAGAAAGGAUAGUAGAGAGAGCAGUGGAGGAAACGCAGGUGAAGUAUGGAAACUAGUUCACUGCAAUCAUAUAAAUGACCCAUUGUUAGGAAGGAUAAACCCCUUAUUGGAAAUAACCUCUCCAAUCAUUUAUUUUCCAAGUGGUAGGAGGCUGCCUUGAAAUGGGAUUGUCUCUGCGCAAAGGAGGCUCCUGUCAUGCUCUCUGCUAUCCAUAUUCUUCCUG
This 1313-nucleotide long non-coding RNA is filed under the name Homo sapiens (human). RNAcentral's name for it is "HSALNT0007912". The record is from RNAcentral. Lineage: Eukaryota; Metazoa; Chordata; Mammalia; Primates; Hominidae.